RNAcentral lists this long non-coding RNA (1407 nucleotides) under Heterocephalus glaber (naked mole-rat). RNAcentral describes it as "lncRNA (ENSHGLG00100049702.1)". Lineage: Eukaryota; Metazoa; Chordata; Mammalia; Rodentia; Bathyergidae. The record is from RNAcentral.
CUAGUUGUCCUCAUGAUUGAAAACUACUUUGCCUAGUUCACUGAAAACUUCAGAGCCAAAAAUCUAUUUAGGGAUUAUAUAAGCAGAUGUAGUUAAGAAUAGAUGCAUUUUUUUGUCUCCUGUGAUAGCAUAAGCAUCUGGAAAUAGAGGCUUAAGUCAUUUACAUUCAGUGACAUCAUAUGAAAGAGGCAGCUGUACCAACAGGAUAGGACAUAAUUUAGAUCAGCAUUUUCAUUUCUUGCAGAGAUGGGUGAAAAAUACCAAACACUGUGUCCAGUCUUGAGAAAACACCUGGUAAUCAAGGCCAUUUUCAUUUUGAAACACCAGACUGAAUGGUUAAAAGUAAAAAUCAGGAUCUUUUCACAACAUCAAAGCAAUCUCCACAAAAUUAAAGGGCUGUCCCAUAGUGGAGAUUAAAGAUGGUGGUGAUAAGACGCAUGCAGGUCAUUUCUCUGGGCCUCAUGAAUACAAUCUGCUUUCUUGCUUUUGUACUAGAUGUGGUUGGGCAAAAGAACACAAUGGUGGGCAGAAGGUAAUACUGCCUACUCUAGAAGCAUUUUAAAGUAUCAUUUAAAAUCUAGCUUCCUGGGCGAGGGAUUUAGCUCAGUGGUGCGGUCCCCUGCCUCGAAAGCUCAAGGUCCUAAAUUUAAUCCCCAGUCUGUCCCCGCCCCCCGCCCCCAAAAAUUAAGCUUCCUUUUUUUUCUUUUGGUACUGGGGAUUGAAUUCGGGUCCUUGCACUUGCGCAGCAGGUGGCAAAACCACUGAGCUAAAUCCCCAGCCCUCCUAGUUUACUCUUUACCCUUAUUACUUUUAAAGUUCAUCAAGAGACAGAAGAACGGCUUCCCCACCAAACAUGUUGAAAGUCAACAUUGAUAGAUUUCCCUCCAAUUUAGGGUAGCUGCUGUAUAUAAUAGCUACCUUCUUCCCAACAUGCCCCUACUCCCACCAAAAGAGUAACCUAAUACUUGCUCUCCUAACAGCUGGUGACAUAACAGGCUCCUCCAGUCCGUAGCCAGUACCUCACUCAACCCCACCCCAGCUCCCACAAGGCCCACCCCAGCUCCUACAAGAAGCACUCCCCAUCCUGGCCAUAUUGCUUUUGUCUCUCCUUUGUUCUGAGACAGCCCAGCAGACUGUCCCUACAAUAAAGGUUUGUUAUGGCCUGGUCUGGUCUUGGUUUUUGCCUUUUUUACCUGACAAACAUCACUUUUUUUUUUUUUUGGCAGUACUAGGGAUUGAACCAAAGGCUUUUGCACUGAGCUACAUAUCUUGUCUUUUUUUUUUUUUUUAAUUUUGAGAUUGGAUCUUGCUAAAUUGCCCAUAUUGGGCCCAAACUUGUGAUCCUCUUACCUCAGCCUCCCCAGUGCUGGGAUUACAGGGGCAUGUCACCAUGCCUGGCUAAACUGC